AAAUAUAAUCAAAUACUUAAUUAAAAACCAUAUAAGAUUGACGACCUGAAAGAGGAUGGAUCAAAUGCAACUUUGAUGGCUCAUUCGUUAAUGGAGAUGUAGAAAGUAAAGCAGGUUGGGUUGUUCGGGAUAGUAAUGGAAGUUAUCUACUGGCGGGUCAGGCUAUAGGAAGAAAGGUGGACAAUGCUCUGGAGAGUGAAAUUCAAGCGCUAAUCAUUUCAAUGCAGCACUGUUGGAGUCAUGGUUACAAACGGGUUUGCUUUGAAGGAGAUAACAAGAUGCUGUUUGACCUAAUCAACGGAUCCAAGGUACAUUUUGGCGUUCACAACUGGAUACGAGACGUUCAUUGGUGGUCAAGGAAGUUUGAAUCAAUCCAUUUCAAUUGGAUAAGAAGACAUCACAAUGUUCCAGCUGAUAUUCUUGCUAAAGCUCCUCUCCAAAACCAAUCUUUAUUCCUUAAUCAUUUUUGGGUUCCUAAUGUAAUAAGCUAUGCUUUACAUUGUGACUACACUGCUGAUUUAUAAAUCAAUAAGAUGAUGAUGACAAAAAAA
Molecule: small RNA, 551 nt
Filed under: Arabidopsis thaliana (thale cress)
Lineage: Eukaryota; Viridiplantae; Streptophyta; Magnoliopsida; Brassicales; Brassicaceae
Description: ATSL196390
Source: RNAcentral